GUAGCUGUACACCGUGGAAAAGGCUUCGCUGUUGUGCUCAAGAAUUAAGCACCCGUAUAAGGAAGAGAGGAUAAAAUGAGACGUAGGAGCGUCAAACCACUUGAUGAAGCAGUGCAACAUGUCAGCAGUGCUAGUGUACUGGAGCAUAACUCAGUAAAUCCUUAUAAAGGUCGUGGUGUAUUUGCCCUGGCGCCUUUGAAUAAAGAAGAUUUUGUGGUGGAAAACAGAGGGGAACUGAUAGACUUCCUUGAAUCAGAGAGAAGGAAGAAGCAUCGAUGCAACAAGAGAGGACGACACCCAUGGCCAUCUAGUGAACGAUGAGCACAAAGGCCCUAACUAGAAUGAAAAAGAUCAUUGUCCAAGGAAAACCACAUCUCUGCCUUUUUGCAAUUAGAGACAUAAUGCCUGGGGAGGAAAUAACCUACGACUAUGGAGGAAGUGACUGGCCUUGGAGGAAAAAGUCUACCUAUGAGGACACUGCUACCAUGAUGAUAGACAUGGUUGAAACAAUUGGUCCUGUGACCAAUGCUGAAGCUUCCUCUUUGGACUUAAAGCCUGCUUAUAAGAACAGUGCUAACAUGAUGGAUGUGGUUGAAUCAAUCUACUCAGCUUCAGGUCCUGUUACCAAUGCUGAAAUUUCCUGUUCUGGCUUAAAGCCUGGUGAAUCCACUCCUAAACAUGGAAAAACUCGGAUCCAGGCUUUGUGCUCUUUCGCAACACCUCCCCCACCAGGUAUAACUGAUGGUGUUUGGAAGCUCAUAAAUGCCAUGAACCAAGAUAGUGGCACUUGCAGUCCAGAAUGACCAGAGUAUUACUGAGUUUGGAAAGCAUCUAUAUAAUAAGUAUGGAUCGCGGGUUAAAAUGCAUGAAUACAUCCGUCAGAAGAUACGAGAGCUUGGAAGACUCCUAAUAUGCGCACAAGAGAUAACACCCCUUAAGUGCAUCAAAGAUCUUAUCCGUCCUGAAGACUUUAUGCACACAGUCACUGCAGUUAAGCACACAGCUGGCUACAACAAAGACACAGAUAAAUAUCAAUCAGCAAGUGUUGCGGUGAAACUUGGGCAUAGCCUGAACAAAGUUGCUAUGCUUGUGGAAAGCAGUGCCACCAUAGAAGCAGACAAAGCAACAGCAAAAGAGGCCAGGAGUUUCCAAAAAAAUCUAUGGCUCCAGAUGGCAUGAGUAUAUUUCAGCCACAGCUCGCAGAACACUGGAGCAAGCCAAAUGGAACUCUUCCUCGGUUGCUUCCUUUCACUGAAGAUGUUAAACGUCUUCACUUGUAUCUUGAUGAGCACCAUUACCGUAAAAUUGUCAGCAGAGCCUUCCUCUCAGCACUGGUCACAAUUGGCAAAAGUUACACUUACACAAAUCAUGCUGUUUAAUCGCAGACAUGAAGUUACUCAAAUGCCCUUAACAUUUCCAGAGAUGCAUCAGAUCCUCAUCCAGAUGUUAGUCUGGCCCUCUCAGAAUUGGAAAAGAAGCUUUGUCAACACUUCAAACGCAUAGAGAUCAGAGGCAAGAGGCAGGAAGGCUGCUGUUCUUGUAACUCCAACAAUGCAAGACUCGCUUGACCUGCUCGUUCAACAUCGUAGUAAAUGUGGAGUACUUCAGGAAAAUGUCUACCUCUUUGCACGACCUUUUGCAGUGACCUGCUUUCGAGGCUCAGACUGCAUCAGGGAUUUGUGACAAUGUGACAGGUCUUGAUGCAGCCAUGUCAUUACCACACGACAAUACAAAUCAAGUCGAUGAGGAUCCAGACCAAGUGGUGAGGUCAGAUGAAAAUGUGAGAGGUCCCAGUAAGAAAACACCUUGGAACAGUAAUGAAGUCUGUGCUGUGGAGAAGCACAUGAUGGGGUUCAUGAGGAGCUGGACAGUUCCAGGAAAAGCUGAGUGUGUGUGCACUGCGUGGAAUCUGAACCACUGGCACUUAAAAACAGAGACUGAUUAGCUGUCAAGUUCUAUGUGAAAAAUCGCAUCACAGCGUUGCAGAGACUGCAGGUUUAACAGGUUUAAGACGUGGUCAACAUGUAUCUUAAACGACCGAAGUCUGUUUGUGUGGGUUUUUUUUUUUGGUUUUUAAUGAAAGCUUUAUUAAAAAAAA
Non-coding RNA from Electrophorus electricus (electric eel), 2098 nucleotides. Lineage: Eukaryota; Metazoa; Chordata; Actinopteri; Gymnotiformes; Gymnotidae. The record is from RefSeq and is a predicted model, not a curated record.